CAGCUUGCCAUUACGACACCAGCAAAAGUGCGGCAUGUGACUCACCUCUGGAGGCCUCCUGCAGAGCCCAGCUGCUCCUUAACUCGGGCACCCAAUGUCAAAAUAUUCCUGUCCUGCACAGACUGUGUGGUGCCUUACUCACUGAUGGUGCUUUGAAGAGCAGGAGCUGUACUUUGGUGACACAAGAGAGUGCAAAGUGGCUGAAGGUGUCCGUCCGAUGGGAGAUCCAAGCUCCAGGAGAGGAAAAUCAGGCCUGAGCUUCAUUUAAGGAUUUUUAACAUCGAUGGAGUGUUAAAAAAGAGAUCUUAGCAGAAAGCUAAAUGAUGAGUCCUCUCAUAUGGUGUCUGCUUAAGAGACCUUAAGGUUCCAGGAUCCGAUGUGUUCAGGCAAACAGGGAAGCAGACUAGUUUCAACAUCCACGUCAUAAAUCAAGAGCCGUUAACGGAGUCCGGUACAUUAGGAAGCAAAUACAUUAGCAGAGAUUCACAGAGCUUG
RNAcentral lists this long non-coding RNA (495 nucleotides) under Falco tinnunculus (common kestrel). RNAcentral's name for it is "lncRNA (ENSFTIG00000005334.1)". The record is from RNAcentral. Lineage: Eukaryota; Metazoa; Chordata; Aves; Falconiformes; Falconidae.